This 178-nucleotide ribosomal RNA is filed under the name Lactarius akahatsu. RNAcentral's name for it is "5.8S ribosomal RNA". The stretch from base 2 to 155 matches the Rfam family "5.8S ribosomal RNA". From Rfam's summary of the family: 5.8S ribosomal RNA (5.8S rRNA) is a component of the large subunit of the eukaryotic ribosome. It is transcribed by RNA polymerase I as part of the 45S precursor that also contains 18S and 28S rRNA. Functionally, it is thought that 5.8S rRNA may be involved in ribosome translocation. Lineage: Eukaryota; Fungi; Basidiomycota; Agaricomycetes; Russulales; Russulaceae. The record is from RNAcentral.
CAACUUUCAACAACGGAUCUCUUGGCUCUCGCAUCGAUGAAGAACGCAGCGAAAUGCGAUACGUAAUGUGAAUUGCAGAAUUCAGUGAAUCAUCGAAUCUUUGAACGCACCUUGCGCCCCUUGGUAUUCCGAGGGGCACACCCGUUUGAGUGUCGUGAAAAUCUCAACCUUCUCGGUU